Molecule: ribosomal RNA, 823 nt
Filed under: Marpissa nivoyi
Lineage: Eukaryota; Metazoa; Arthropoda; Arachnida; Araneae; Salticidae
Description: partial 16S ribosomal RNA
Rfam family: Bacterial large subunit ribosomal RNA (bases 1-471)
Source: RNAcentral
GUAUAAUCUGCUCAAUGAAAAUUAAAUAGCCGCAAUUUCGUGCUAAGGUAGCAUAAUCAUUUGUCUUUUAAAUAAAGACUAGAACAAAAGAUUUUACAUUUUAGUUUAUUUCUUUAUAAAUACUUCAAACUUAUCUUAAAAGUAAAAAGACUUUUAUAUAAAAGAUAGACGACAAGACCCUAUUGAACUUAACUUAAGUUGAACUGGGGCAGUUACUUAAUUAUUAUUUUAAUUUAAAUAUUAUUUAAAAGAUCCAAUUAAAUGAUAAUCCAGUUACCAUAGGGAUAACAGCAUAAUUAUUUUCCAAAGACCUCAUCUAAAAAAUAGAUUAUGACCUCGAUGUUGAAUUAAUAACCUAACUAAAGCAAAAUUUAAACAAGGAAGUCUGUUCGACUUUUAAAAAAUUACAUGAUUUGAGUUCAGACCGGUGUAAGCCAGGUCGGUUUCCAUCUUCUAUAAAGUUUUUUGUAGUACGAAAGGACCUAAAAAUAUUUUAUCCUAAAUUGGCAGAUUAAUGCAUUAGACUUAGAUUCUAAUUAAACUUCAAUUACUUUUAUUUCUAAUUAUAUUUUAAUUAUCAUUAGAAUCUUAAUUAGAGUGGCCUUUUACACUAUCCUAGAACGAAAAAUUUUAGGAUAUAUACAAAACCGAAAAGGCCCUAACAAAGUGGGAUUUUUAGGAAUUCUCCAACCUUUUAGAGAUGCCCUUAAACUCUUCAAUAAAAAUUUAAUAUCCUCUGAAAAUAUAAAUUUAACCAUAUCUUAUAUAACUCCAGCCCUAUCCUUAUUUAUUAGAAUAAUAUUAAUUCCAAUCAUUUCAUUCA